Molecule: transfer RNA, 72 nt
Filed under: Planctomycetales bacterium
Lineage: Bacteria; Pseudomonadati; Planctomycetota; Planctomycetia; Planctomycetales
Description: tRNA-Ala
Rfam family: tRNA
About the family: Transfer RNA (tRNA) molecules are approximately 80 nucleotides in length. Their secondary structure includes four short double-helical elements and three loops (D, anti-codon, and T loops). Further hydrogen bonds mediate the characteristic L-shaped molecular structure. tRNAs have two regions of fundamental functional importance: the anti-codon, which is responsible for specific mRNA codon recognition, and the 3' end, to which the tRNAs corresponding amino acid is attached (by aminoacyl-tRNA synthetases). tRNAs cope with the degeneracy of the genetic code in two manners: having more than one tRNA (with a specific anti-codon) for a particular amino acid; and 'wobble' base-pairing, i.e. permitting non-standard base-pairing at the 3rd anti-codon position.
Source: RNAcentral
GGGCUGCUCGUCCAACGGGAAGAUGCCUGGUUUGCACCCAGGAGAUCGGGGUUCGAUUCCCCGGCAGGUCCA